Molecule: ribosomal RNA, 861 nt
Filed under: Coelastrella sp.
Lineage: Eukaryota; Viridiplantae; Chlorophyta; Chlorophyceae; Sphaeropleales; Scenedesmaceae
Description: SSU rRNA
Rfam family: Eukaryotic small subunit ribosomal RNA
Source: RNAcentral
UGAAUUCAUGAUAUCUCACGAAGGCAUGGCCUUGUGCCGCGCGUCCAUCAUCUGCCUAUCACUUCGAUGUAGAUAGAGCUACCAUGUGUACGGUGACGAAGAUUAGGUUCGAUUCCGAAGAGGGAGCCUUGAGAAACCGCCUACAACAUCCAAGGAAAGCCAGGCAGGCCGCGAAAAUUACCCCAUUCCCUGAUACGGGGAGGUAGUGCCAUUAAAUACCAAUCGCGGGCUAUUCUCGUGCAGUAAGAAGAAUGACUACAAUAUUAUUCCCUCGACGAGGCUCCAUAGGAGAACUAGUGUGGCAGCAGCAGCCGCGGUAACUCCAGCUACAAUAGAGUAUAUAUAAGUUGCAGCAGUUAAAAAGGUAGUAGUUGGUUUUCGGGUGGCUUCUAGCGGUCCUCUUAUGGGGAGUGCUCCUAUGGCCUAUCUUUCUGUCGGGGCCGGGCUUUUGGGUUUCCCUUUCCGGGGUUCGGAGUCAGCGAGGUUACUUUGAGUAAACAAGAGUGUUCAAAGCAAGCUUACGCCCUGAAUUCUUUAGCAUGGAAUAACACGAUAGGACUCUGGCCUAUCUUGUUGGUCUGUAGGACCGGAGUAAUGAUUAAGAGGGACAGUCGGGGGCAUUCGUAUUUCAUUGUCAGAGGUGAAAUUCUUGGAUUUAUGAAAGACGAACAUCUGCGAAAGCAUUUGCCAAGGAUGUUUUCAUUAAUCAAGAACGAAAGUUGGGGGCUCGAAGACGAUUAGAUACCGUCGUAGUCUCAACCAUAAACGAUGCCGACUAGGGAUUGGCGGAAUUCCUUUUAAUGACUUCGCCAGCACCUUAUGAGAAAUCAAAGUUUUUGGGUCCGGGGGGAGUAGUCCCCG